Molecule: ribosomal RNA, 739 nt
Filed under: Cryocola sp.
Lineage: Bacteria; Bacillati; Actinomycetota; Actinomycetes; Micrococcales; Microbacteriaceae
Description: bacterial SSU rRNA
Rfam family: Bacterial small subunit ribosomal RNA
Source: RNAcentral
CAGGAGCUUGCUCUUGGGGAUUAGUGGCGAACGGGUGAGUAACACGUGAGUAACCUGCCCUUGACUCUGGGAUAACCUCCGGAAACGGAAGCUAAUACCGGAUACGAACUGCGAAGGCAUCUUCAGCAGUUGGAAAGAACUUCGGUCAAGGAUGGACUCGCGGCCUAUCAGGUAGUUGGUGAGGUAAAGGCUCACCAAGCCUACGACGGGUAGCCGGCCUGAGAGGGUGACCGGCCACACUGGGACUGAGACACGGCCCAGACUCCUACGGGAGGCAGCAGUGGGGAAUAUUGCACAAUGGGCGCAAGCCUGAUGCAGCAACGCCGCGUGAGGGAUGACGGCCUUCGGGUUGUAAACCUCUUUUAGUAGGGAAGAAGCGAAAGUGACGGUACCUGCAGAAAAAGCACCGGCUAACUACGUGCCAGCAGCCGCGGUAAUACGUAGGGUGCGAGCGUUGUCCGGAAUUAUUGGGCGUAAAGAGCUCGUAGGCGGUCUGUCGCGUCUGCUGUGAAAACCCGAGGCUCAACCUCGGGCCUGCAGUGGGUACGGGCAGACUAGAGUGCGGUAGGGGAGAAUGGAAUUCCUGGUGUAGCGGUGGAAUGCGCAGAUAUCAGGAGGAACACCGAUGGCGAAGGCAGUUCUCUGGGCCGUAACUGACGCUGAGGAGCGAAAGCGUGGGGAGCGAACAGGAUUAGAUACCCUGGUAGUCCACGCCGUAAACGUUGGGCGCUAGAUGUGG